AUAUCAUGAUGUGGACAAUUUCUUAGAAGAUCAUUAUAUCUUUCCCAUGAAUCAUGAAAUUGGUCUCCCGAAAUUUGGGAAAACGCCAUGAUAUCUCUUCUCAUUUU
Small nucleolar RNA from Cornus florida, 107 nucleotides. Lineage: Eukaryota; Viridiplantae; Streptophyta; Magnoliopsida; Cornales; Cornaceae. The record is from RefSeq and is a predicted model, not a curated record.